AGAGAGGGGGGGGCAGGCAACUGAGCUGUGGAGUGAGCAGAUUCAGCCCCACUACACCUUCUGCUAUUGCAGACAAAUACCCCCUGGGUCAUUGCUCCCACUCUUUAUGGACUCUAUAACUGAAAGUAAACUGAGCUGCUAGAGCCAUGGGGAGGGGGAAUUGGCAGGUGAGAGGUCAGACCCAAAAGAGGGAACUGUAAGGAUGCAACAAUGAACCUUCCAACAUCCCUGUCGCAAUGCAUCUCCCAAAAAUCAACACCAAGACAGAACUCACCUGGACCACUGCAGCUGCAAGGAUCAGCUCUGCCAUUCCAGCCAAACCAAGUGAUAGACCAUCAGCCACCAUAUGUUCCAAGGCCCAAAGACUUGAAGAAAACCAAGAAGCCAACUGUAAAACCAAAGGUGAAAGUGAGAGGAAGGGGACACUUGAUGGCAAGGCAGGCAAGAGGAAGAGUGUGGACACAGAGUCCCAACCGUUAAGGAGAAUCUCACUCUGGAGCUAGGAUUGACUAAAAAGGGGACUAAAAUAAUCCAGACCCCCCCAUUACCUGUCAUUAAGGGGAAAUGAAGAACUGUUUUCAUUGAGGCAGAACCUCAGCAAACAUUGUCCAAGACUAUUCUGGGGAUAGAGGGAGCCAGCAUUAUGAAAUCAAAGAAGAGUCAUCUGCUGAAGACAGUGCAAAGGCCAGUGCCCCCACUCUGCCACAGCUGAUGUACCUCUCUGUGUCAAAGACAGCGCUGCCCUCCCGGCCAAGGCUGGUGCACCCAUCCUUGCCAAAGCCAAUGCCACCCUUCCUGCCAAGGCUGGUACACCCAUCCUUGCCAAAACUAGCACCCUUCUUCCUGCCAAAGCCAGUACCACUCUCCCAGCCAAGGCUGGUGCACCUACCCCUGCCAAGGCCAUCAUCACCCUCUCUGCCAAGG
Rhineura floridana is the source of this 924-nucleotide long non-coding RNA. RefSeq lists it as uncharacterized. The record is from RefSeq and is a predicted model, not a curated record. NCBI's taxonomy places the organism in Eukaryota, Metazoa, Chordata, Lepidosauria, Squamata, Rhineuridae. The transcript is spliced from 3 exons.